UACGAAGGAGGCUAGCGUUGUUCGGAAUUACUGGGCGUAAAGGGCGCGGAGGCGGUCUUGUAAGUCAGAUGUGAAAGCCCCGGGCUCAACCCGGGAAUAGCAUUUGAUACUGCGAGGCUUGAGUCCGGGAGAGGAUGGCGGAAUUCCCAGUGUAGAGGUGAAAUUCGUAGAUAUUGGGAAGAACACCGGUGGCGAAGGCGGCCAUCGGGACCGGUACUGACGCUGAGGCGCGAAAGCGUGGGGAGCAAACAGG
This 253-nucleotide ribosomal RNA is filed under the name uncultured bacterium. RNAcentral describes it as "partial 16S ribosomal RNA". It matches the Rfam family "Bacterial small subunit ribosomal RNA", at positions 524 to 776 of the family's 1533-position model. The record is from RNAcentral.